Molecule: non-coding RNA, 114 nt
Organism: Acanthosepion pharaonis
Lineage: Eukaryota; Metazoa; Mollusca; Cephalopoda; Sepiida; Sepiidae
Source: the annotation of a GenBank genome assembly
UUAUGGCCAUAUCAGGUUUAACCACCAGUUCCCAUGCGAUCACGGAAGGUAAGCAACUUUGAGCCUGGUCAGUUCCUAGAUGGGAGAUCGCUUGGGAAUAACAGGUGCUGUAAG